AUUGAACGCUGACGGCAUGCCUUACACAUGCAAGUCGAACGGUAACAGGGAGCUUGCUCCGCUGACGAGUGGCGAACGGGUGAGUAAUGCAUCGGAACGUACCCAGUAGUGGGGGAUAACGCAGCGAAAGCUGUGCUAAUACCGCAUACGCACUGAGGUGGAAAGCAGGGGACCUUCGGGCCUUGUGCUAUUGGAGCGGCCGAUGUCAGAUUAGCUAGUUGGUGGGGUAAAAGCUCACCAAGGCGACGAUCUGUAGCUGGUCUGAGAGGAUGAUAAGCCACACUGGGACUGAGACACGGCCCAGACUCCUACGGGAGGCAGCAGUGGGGAAUUUUGGACAAUGGGGGCAACCCUGAUCCAGCCAUGCCGCGUGGGUGAAGAAGGCCUUCGGGUUGUAAAGCUCUUUCGGCCGGGAAGAAAUCGCCAUCUCUAACAUAGGUGGUGGAUGACGGUACCGGAAUAAGAAGCACCGGCUAACUACGUGCCAGCCGCCGCCGUAA
Molecule: ribosomal RNA, 500 nt
Filed under: uncultured bacterium
Lineage: Bacteria
Description: partial 16S ribosomal RNA
Rfam family: Bacterial small subunit ribosomal RNA
Source: RNAcentral